Molecule: ribosomal RNA, 2211 nt
Filed under: Enterobacter cloacae
Lineage: Bacteria; Pseudomonadati; Pseudomonadota; Gammaproteobacteria; Enterobacterales; Enterobacteriaceae
Also listed under: 1 other name
Description: bacterial LSU rRNA
Rfam family: Bacterial large subunit ribosomal RNA
Source: RNAcentral
UUAAGCGACUAAGCGUACACGGUGGAUGCCCUGGCAGUCAGAGGCGAUGAAGGACGUGCUAAUCUGCGAAAAGCGCCGGCGAGGUGAUAUGAACCCUUGACCCGGCGAUGUCCGAAUGGGGAAACCCAGUGCAAUCCGUUGCACUAUCGUUAACUGAAUACAUAGGUUAACGAGGCGAACCGGGGGAACUGAAACAUCUAAGUACCCCGAGGAAAAGAAAUCAACCGAGAUUCCCCCAGUAGCGGCGAGCGAACGGGGAGCAGCCCGGAGUCUGAAUCAGCUUGUGUGUUAGUGGAACGGUCUGGAAAGUCCGACGGUACAGGGUGAUAGUCCCGUACACGAAAGCACACUUGCUGUGAACUCGAAGAGUAGGGCGGGACACGUGGUAUCCUGUCUGAAUAUGGGGGGACCAUCCUCCAAGGCUAAAUACUCCUGACUGACCGAUAGUGAACCAGUACCGUGAGGGAAAGGCGAAAAGAACCCCGGCGAGGGGAGUGAAAAAGAACCUGAAACCGUGUACGUACAAGCAGUGGGAGCCUCUUUAUGGGGUGACUGCGUACCUUUUGUAUAAUGGGUCAGCGACUUAUAUUCUGUAGCAAGGUUAACCGUAUAGGGGAGCCGAAGGGAAACCGAGUCUUAACUGGGCGUUAAGUUGCAGGGUAUAGACCCGAAACCCGGUGAUCUAGCCAUGGGCAGGUUGAAGGUUGGGUAACACUAACUGGAGGACCGAACCGACUAAUGUUGAAAAAUUAGCGGAUGACCUGUGGCUGGGGGUGAAAGGCCAAUCAAACCGGGAGAUAGCUGGUUCUCCCCGAAAGCUAUUUAGGUAGCGCCUCGUGAACUCAUCUUCGGGGGUAGAGCACUGUUUCGGCUAGGGGGCCAUCCCGGCUUACCAACCCGAUGCAAACUACGAAUACCGAAGAAUGUUAUCACGGGAGACACACGGCGGGUGCUAACGUCCGUCGUGAAGAGGGAAACAACCCAGACCGCCAGCUAAGGUCCCAAAGUCAUGGUUAAGUGGGAAACGAUGUGGGAAGGCACAGACAGCCAGGAUGUUGGCUUAGAAGCAGCCAUCAUUUAAAGAAAGCGUAAUAGCUCACUGGUCGAGUCGGCCUGCGCGGAAGAUGUAACGGGGCUAAACCAUGCACCGAAGCUGCGGCAGCGACGCUUAUGCGUUGUUGGGUAGGGGAGCGUUCUGUAAGCCGUUGAAGGUGUGCUGUGAGGCAUGCUGGAGGUAUCAGAAGUGCGAAUGCUGACAUAAGUAACGAUAAAGCGGGUGAAAAGCCCGCUCGCCGGAAGACCAAGGGUUCCUGUCCAACGUUAAUCGGGGCAGGGUGAGUCGACCCCUAAGGCGAGGCCGAAAGGCGUAGUCGAUGGGAAACAGGUUAAUAUUCCUGUACUUGGUGUUACUGCGAAGGGGGGACGGAGAAGGCUAUGUCAGCCGGGCGACGGUUGUCCCGGUUUAAGCAUGUAGGCGGAGGUUCCAGGUAAAUCCGGUACCUUAUUAACGCUGAGGUGUGAUGACGAGGCACUACGGUGCUGAAGUGAUAAAUGCCCUGCUUCCAGGAAAAGCCUCUAAGCAUCAGGUAACACGAAAUCGUACCCCAAACCGACACAGGUGGUCAGGUAGAGAAUACCAAGGCGCUUGAGAGAACUCGGGUGAAGGAACUAGGCAAAAUGGUGCCGUAACUUCGGGAGAAGGCACGCUGAUGUGUAGGUGAAGCCCCUGCGGGUGGAGCUGAAAUCAGUCGAAGAUACCAGCUGGCUGCAACUGUUUAUUAAAAACACAGCACUGUGCAAACACGAAAGUGGACGUAUACGGUGUGACGCCUGCCCGGUGCCGGAAGGUUAAUUGAUGGGGUCAGCGGCAACGCGAAGCUCUUGAUCGAAGCCCCGGUAAACGGCGGCCGUAACUAUAACGGUCCUAAGGUAGCGAAAUUCCUUGUCGGGUAAGUUCCGACCUGCACGAAUGGCGUAAUGAUGGCCAGGCUGUCUCCACCCGAGACUCAGUGAAAUUGAACUCGCUGUGAAGAUGCAGUGUACCCGCGGCAAGACGGAAAGACCCCGUGAACCUUUACUAUAGCUUGACACUGAACACUGGUCCUUGAUGUGUAGGAUAGGUGGGAGGCUUUGAAGCGUGGACGCCAGUCUGCGUGGAGCCGCCCUUGAAAUACCACCCUUUAAUGGCUGGUGUUCUAACGUAGACCCGUA